GCAGAAGUGGUUGAGGCCAUGAAGUCUUUUGCUGAGCUCACAGAUCAUGACAGAUUUGUGUGAGAUGUUUGGAGGCUCACAGGUUCAGUGGCAAUAGUGCCCCUGGUGCGAUAGCAAAGGCACAACAUCAGUGGAUGGGUUGCACUGCAGGGAAUGGACUGGAGCAGGCUGGCACAGUUGAUGGGAAACCACUAAUACUGGAACGAUCUCUGUCCCAUUGGUCUGUGUACACAGAAGACUGUUUGGGACCAGGUAAUCUCAAGAUGGUGCAAAUGGCAAGACAGGCACAGUAUAGAGUUACAAUUUUCAAGAUUAUCUAAUAUUUUCCUACUAUGUUUCUUUGUACUUUUUUAUUUAUCAUUUGUUGUGUUUGCUUACAUUGCUUGUCAAUGCAGUCUGGUUCAUCUGCGAAACUGCCCAGCAAUGGUGGUGCUGUGGUGGGCUUGUAUCUGGAUCAAGGAAGACUGAUAAGACCUAUACUUUCACAUCUUAAACAAAACUGUAUACUGUGUACGCAGUGAAAUCAAUGUAAAAGAGCUGAAUUGUUUGUCAUACUUUGGUCACUUUAUUUUGAUAGUCCCGCAUAAAUGGUUAAUUGAUGCUCAAACUAUCAACUGCAACUCUGUUAUAUAACUUGACUUAACUUGAAACACCACAGCUUCCUACGGUUAGAGCUAAAGUUUGUUGAUAGUACUUGAGCAUCUAUAAACGGGUCCAUCUGUCGGCUCUAUUAUAGAGGACUAUCCAAAUCCAGUGUUACCCAUACAGUAGUAAUGUUGUGCAUGUCUUUGCUUUCACACUAGGUGGAGAUGAGGAAAGCGUUUUGUGUGAUUGUACCACAUAACCCAUCUGGUACCAUUGCAACCAACAGCCAAGUAUGAUUUUAAAUGAUCUAUAAUGGACAUCAUUAUAAUCAAUCAAAUAUCAAAUCUGGAGCUAAGAUAACACAGCAUUAUAUUUUUCUAUUCAUGUGGGCAGAUUUGUAGCCCAUGAUAUCCUGUAUGAAUGGUAUAUGAUGAGACAGUUGUGAAAUGAAUGUGCCAGGGAUAUGGUUUGUGAGUCAUUUUAUAAAUGUAACACAUUGUCUUUUUAUGAACACUGAAUAAA
Long non-coding RNA from Oncorhynchus masou masou (cherry salmon), 1107 nucleotides. RefSeq lists it as uncharacterized. The record is from RefSeq and is a predicted model, not a curated record. Lineage: Eukaryota; Metazoa; Chordata; Actinopteri; Salmoniformes; Salmonidae. The transcript has 3 exons.